Molecule: unclassified non-coding RNA, 729 nt
Filed under: Hevea brasiliensis (rubber tree)
Lineage: Eukaryota; Viridiplantae; Streptophyta; Magnoliopsida; Malpighiales; Euphorbiaceae
Source: RNAcentral
GGCCCCUGGAAUGCUUUCAAGCCUGCCAGUAUCCAAAUUAAUCCUUGACUCCUGCUUCUCCAGGAGCUCAGUUCCAAUUUCCACAAGCCUUUGCAAAUUCUCCUCGGUUGCUAUAUGACCUGAUGAUUCUUCACCCGUCAGCGUAUCAUCCUGAAUGCGCAGGUAAUAAUCCUCACAAUCCAAGGACUUAAAAAGGGCAGAGAGAUGGAAGUCAACCAUAUCUGAGCUAGCAUUACUAAAUAUGUCAACCGCUGGUGAAUUGCCGUUGUAAAGGGCCCAAUUAUACAAACGCCAUUUAGAUGUCAUGUCUGCAUUGUAUUUUUCUUUGUACUCGGAUUUGCCAGUUCCCAGUGAUAGCACUAGCCUGCUCUUGCUCUCCGUCAAGUUUGCACCAAUGAACCGAGGAUUUUGCCUUAUGAUCUCGUUGCGGAUGUGGGUUAGUGCUAGUAGUGUAGGAUUGGUCGCAGCAACCCCACCAUCAAUGAGUUCAAAAGUGUGAAUAUUUUUAUCAUCCUCGGUGGUAAAGGAAUGUGCUGGUAAGAGAACUGGAGCUGCAGAGGUGCUGAUGCAGACAUCAGCUAGCCUAGCAUUUUUCAGAGCAUUACAUUUCGCAUCAUCAGAUGAGAAGAUGACUGGGAGAAGAAGCUUGAUGUCAAAUGCAGGUAUAAUCACAUCUGUCAAGGUAUCUUUUACGGUCAAGUCCUUAAGCAAAUUGUUACACAAUUCUCG